This is a transfer RNA of Microscilla marina ATCC 23134, 74 nucleotides long. It matches the Rfam family "tRNA". From Rfam's summary of the family: Transfer RNA (tRNA) molecules are approximately 80 nucleotides in length. Their secondary structure includes four short double-helical elements and three loops (D, anti-codon, and T loops). Lineage: Bacteria; Pseudomonadati; Bacteroidota; Cytophagia; Cytophagales; Microscillaceae. The record is from Rfam.
GGACCGGUAGCUUAGCUGAAUAGAGCACCAGAUUACGGCUCUGGAGGUCGUAGGUUUGAAUCCUACCCGGUUCA